This 114-nucleotide ribosomal RNA is filed under the name Propithecus coquereli (Coquerel's sifaka). The record is from RNAcentral. Lineage: Eukaryota; Metazoa; Chordata; Mammalia; Primates; Indriidae.
GUCUAUAGUCAUACCAACCUGAACGCGCCUGAUCUCUUCUGAUCUCAGAAGCUAAGCAGGGUUGGGCCUGGUUAGUACUUGGAUAGGAGAAUUGUAUUUUGUAUGUUGUGGCUU